ACAGCAGCCGCCGCGGGAAAACGAAGGGUGCAAGCGUUACUCGGAAUUACUGGGCGUAAAGCGUGCGUAGGUGGUGGUUUAAGUCCGUUGUGAAAGCCCUGGGCUCAACCUGGGAAUUGCAGUGGAUACUGGGUCACUAGAGUGUGGUAGAGGAUAGUGGAAUUUCCGGUGUAGCAGUGAAAUGCGUAGAGAUCGGAAGGAACAUCUGUGACGAAGGCGACUAUCUGGGCCAACACUGACACUGAGGCACGGAAGCGUGGGGAGCAAACAGGAUUAGAUACCCCAGUAGUCCCUGUCUCUUAUAC
Molecule: ribosomal RNA, 305 nt
Filed under: uncultured bacterium
Lineage: Bacteria
Description: partial 16S ribosomal RNA
Rfam family: Bacterial small subunit ribosomal RNA
Source: RNAcentral